ACGCUCGACACCUACGGAGGCAGCAGUGGGGAAUAUUGGGCAAUGGGCGCAAGCCUGACCCAGCAAUGCCGCGUGAAGGAAGAAGGCUUUCGGGUUGUAAACUUCUUUUGUCAGGGAAGAGAAGAAGACGGUACCUGACGAAUAAGCCACGGCUAACUACGUGCCAGUAGCCGCGGUAAUCUGAGCGGGCUGGCAAGGC
RNAcentral lists this ribosomal RNA (199 nucleotides) under uncultured bacterium. Its description in RNAcentral is "partial 16S ribosomal RNA". It matches the Rfam family "Bacterial small subunit ribosomal RNA", at positions 328 to 539 of the family's 1533-position model. The record is from RNAcentral.